UUCGCUGACGAGUGGCGGACGGGUGAGUAAUGUCUGGGAAACUGCCUGAUGGAGGGGGAUAACUACUGGAAACGGUAGCUAAUACCGCAUAACGUCGCAAGACCAAAGAGGGGGACCUUCGGGCCUCUUGCCAUCGGAUGUGCCCAGAUGGGAUUAGCUAGUAGGUGGGGUAACGGCUCACCUAGGCGACGAUCCCUAGCUGGUCUGAGAGGAUGACCAGCCACACUGGAACUGAGACACGGUCCAGACUCCUACGGGAGGCAGCAGUGGGGAAUAUUGCACAAUGGGCGCAAGCCUGAUGCAGCCAUGC
This 310-nucleotide ribosomal RNA is filed under the name Escherichia coli. RNAcentral's name for it is "bacterial SSU rRNA". It matches the Rfam family "Bacterial small subunit ribosomal RNA", at positions 84 to 397 of the family's 1533-position model. The record is from RNAcentral. Lineage: Bacteria; Pseudomonadati; Pseudomonadota; Gammaproteobacteria; Enterobacterales; Enterobacteriaceae.